GAUGAACGCUGGCGGCGUGCCUAAUACAUGCAAGUCGAGCGAACGGACGAGAAGCUUGCUUCUCUGAUGUUAGCGGCUGACGGGUGAUUAACACGUGGAUAACCUACCUAUAAGACUGGGAUAACUUCGUGAAACCUGAUCUAAUACCGGAUAAUAUUUUGAACCGCAUGGUUCAUAAGUGAAAUACGUUCUUUCUGUCUCUUAUCGAUGUAUCCGCGCUGCAUUAUCUAGUUGGUAAGGUAACGGCUUACCAAGGCAACGAUGCAUAGCCGACCUGAGAGGGUGAUCGGCCACACGGGAACUGAGACACGGUCAAGACUCCUACGGGAGGCAGCAGUAGGGAAUAGUCCGCAAUGGGCGAAAGCAUGACGGAGGAAAGCCGAGUGAGUGAUGAAGGUCUUCAGAUCGUAAAACUCUGUUAUUAGGGAAGAACAUAUGUGUAAGUAACUGUGCACAUCUUGACGGUACCUAAUCAGAAAGCCACGGCUAACUACGUG
Molecule: ribosomal RNA, 497 nt
Filed under: uncultured bacterium
Lineage: Bacteria
Description: partial 16S ribosomal RNA
Rfam family: Bacterial small subunit ribosomal RNA
Source: RNAcentral